Poeciliopsis prolifica (blackstripe livebearer) is the source of this 283-nucleotide long non-coding RNA. RefSeq lists it as uncharacterized. Lineage: Eukaryota; Metazoa; Chordata; Actinopteri; Cyprinodontiformes; Poeciliidae. The transcript is spliced from 3 exons. The record is from RefSeq and is a predicted model, not a curated record.
CAGGGAAUUUCAUUGUGCUGCAAGUCAAACUCCAGAUUUUCAUCAAGUUUGAUCAAUUUAUCCAGAUCAACAGUAAAGAUGAAGCUGUUAUCACUUCUCUUCCUCCUGGCUCCACUGCUGAUCAGCUGUGAAGCGGCUGAGGACCAACUGCCACGUGAUUGCGAUGACAUCUACAAUAAGGACAAGAAACUUCCAGUGGAGUUUACAUCAUCUAUCCAAAUGGACAUUCAUCUGCUGUUAAGGCUUACUGCGACAUGGACUCAGAGGGAGGACGCUGGACGGU